Molecule: ribosomal RNA, 395 nt
Filed under: uncultured bacterium
Lineage: Bacteria
Description: bacterial SSU rRNA
Rfam family: Bacterial small subunit ribosomal RNA
Source: RNAcentral
AUUGAACGCUGGCGGCAUGCCUUACACAUGCAAGUCGAACGGCAGCACGGGAGCAAUCCUGGUGGCGAGUGGCGAACGGGUGAGUAAUAUAUCGGAACGUGCCCGGUCGUGGGGAUAACGUAGCGAAAGCUACGCUAAUACCGCAUACGAUCUACGGAUGAAAGCGGGGGAUCGCAAGACCUCGCGCGAUUGGAGCGGCCGAUAUCAGAUUAGGUAGUUGGUGAGGUAAAGGGCUCACCAAGCCGACGAUCUGUAGCUGGUCUGAGAGGACGACCAGCCACACUGGGACUGAGACACGGCCCAGACUCCUACGGGAGCAGCAGUGGGGAAUUUUGGACAAUGGGCGCAAGCCUGAUCCAGCAAUGCCGCGUGCAGGAUGAAGGCCUCGGUGUAAC